RNAcentral lists this long non-coding RNA (1844 nucleotides) under Junco hyemalis (dark-eyed junco). RNAcentral's name for it is "lncRNA (ENSJHYG00000014951.1)". The record is from RNAcentral. Lineage: Eukaryota; Metazoa; Chordata; Aves; Passeriformes; Passerellidae.
GUUGCCAUUAAAGAGAAGAUUUGCAUCACAUUAUUAAAAUAACGUUGCUGAGAAUUAUGUGACCUCUAUUCAUGCCUCAUGGCCAUAAAUGAUUUAUGGUGAGCCCACCUCCAUCCUUCUCCCUGUACUGCCUCAUCUGAGCUGACAUUUCCUUGUGAAUAUUUAAGGUGAUGUCUGCUCUCAUCUCUUGUUCAGAAUCAAAAACAAGGGGAAGUGGAUAUGCAGCACCCAGGUGGUGAAGGGACACAGAACUGGGCAGUCUGUAAAAAGGUGAUACUGAAAAUGCUGCUUUGGGCUGUGGGUUGAAUUGAAUUCUCAUCAAUAGUCCUUUGGAACUUGCCUAAAAUGUGAUGCAAAUAUUGCAGUCCUGUUACAGCCUCUCCUUAUUUCAGUGCAGGAAUGUUGGCUGGAGCAGGAGCUAAGUGUGGUGAUGGCACCAAAUAUGAAGGGCACGGGAAUGGCUCAGCCUCUGGUGAGAGAUUCACCACCCCAGAGCAACAGCUGGACCUUGCAGAGACCUUCCCUCAGUGCCAGGGAGGGCAGCUCUGCAGCUGGGGCAGUGGCACAGCCGUGUCUGUCUGUCUGUCUGCAUGUUAGCCAAGUCAGAGCUGGUUCCUUCCCCUGUGCACUCACCUGGUGUGACAGCACUGGUAGCAAAACACAUUUCAAGGCACUUCUGAAUGGGGACACCAACCAGGGACGCACCUGCAAGAAGCAGCACAGAUGUGACAGUGUCACUGCAGGACAAUGGGAGCUCACUCGUUUCACUGCUGGUUCAGCUCUGGAAGUGUUAAAGACCUUGACCUUUUCUUCUUUAAACAGUGUCCUGGAUACUGGGUUUUAACACAGCUUACUUCAUGUAAAAUAUGCCCUUUUUAAAAAACAAAUUCUGACUAAAAUAUUAUUAAACGCUUUUCCCAAAUGCUUGUUCUUUUUCACUCCCUCCAAGUAUUCAGUUCUCAUAUAUUACAGCCAGCACCUUACUGCAUAUAAAAUUCCAUCAUUGAAUUUGAAGUGAAAUCAGAAGAGCAUAAAUUGCUCAGAGCCUUGGGAGGCCCCAGCCCCAUCUAGAGCAGAAAUGUAUUCAAAGAUUCAGCCGCUGGAUCAAUCCCAUGGCUCAGCAGAAGGAUCCAAGCUUCAGAUUGGAAAGGUUUGGAAUAUCCAGGUCAGUGAGCCCAGAAAUCCUUGUGGUCAGCAGUGAGAUCUCCUCACAGGUUUUUUGCUGCAGGGUUUUUCUGCAGUCCCCUCCCUGCAGUAGGUGCAGUGUCCAGUGUGUAGUUGUCCCACUGCAGACCAAAAUUACAAGGAAUGAGUGAAUUACUGGGCCAACACUUUUAGAGCUGAGAAAAUGGAUGACUGCAAAGCAGAUUUCUUUUUCUUGCAACAUUUUGGCAGAAUUCUUAGCACAGAAAAAGCAUCAUUCCUAAAAGUGAUCAGAAGGAGCAACUGCUAUCCAUCACUUGUCCUUCAUGGUUAGCACAAUAUUUUUGGGCUUCAUCACAGAGUGGCAACCUCUCUUGGCACUGCAGAUGUUGUUUAGAUCUUCUCCCUGGUGCCCGUAACACAUGGAACUGGAGAACCAGCACUUCCAAAUGUUCACGUAUUAGAGAUGUAAUACAGAGGAACAGCAAAUGUUAAUGUGAGGGAGCCCUGAGUGGAUCCCUAUUCCUUUGGGGAGUUUCCAAAGACUUUCUCUACCCUUCAGUGUUUUUCCUUGCUGGGUGAUGAUGUCUCAGCUUUGUGCUGUUCUCUAGAAGAAGGAAGGAGACACUGACAUCAGAAAAAGCAGGGAACAGGUUUGUAGCUUCAUCUGCUUUAGCAGCUCCAAAUAUCACCAGGAGAAA